AUUGAACGCUGGCGGCAGGCCUAACACAUGCAAGUCGAACGGUAACAGGAAGAAGCUUGCUUCUUUGCUGACGAGUGGCGGACGGGUGAGUAAUGUCUGGGAAACUGCCUGAUGGAGGGGGAUAACUACUGGAAACGAUAGCUAAUACCGCAUAACGUCGCAAGACCAAAGAGGGGGACCUUCGGGCCUCUUGCCAUCGGAUGUGCCCAGAUGGGAUUAGCUAGUAGGUGGGGUAACGGCUCACCUAGGCGACGAUCCCUAGCUGGUCUGAGAGGAUGACCAGCCACACUGGAACUGAGACACGGUCCAGACUCCUACGGGAGGCAGCAGUGGGGAAUAUUGCACAAUGGGCGCAAGCCUGAUGCAGCCAUGCCGCGUGUAUGAAGAAGGCCUUCGGGUUGUAAAGUACUUUCAGCGGGGAGGAAGGGAGUAAAGUUAAUACCUUUGCUCAUUGACGUUACCCGCAGAAGAAGCACCGGCUAACUCCGUG
Molecule: ribosomal RNA, 490 nt
Filed under: uncultured bacterium
Lineage: Bacteria
Description: partial 16S ribosomal RNA
Rfam family: Bacterial small subunit ribosomal RNA
Source: RNAcentral